UCCUUUAAUUAAUAUGCCCUAAAAUGGGUCCUAAUAGGCAUCACCUAACCACAUUAUCAAACACGCCCCAAACAUGAAUAAAAAACACCUUAAAAGCAAUUUCCAGUUACCCCUUCCUAUGAGUUGCCAUACCCUGCCAAAAGAAAUUUCCAACACAAUAGAAACCUGGCCUCAGUUCGACUACCACAAGUCCACAACCAUUCCAUCAACAUCACGAUCUCGAACGAUCAAGAUCUGCGAUUUUACAGAUCUGGGUUCCUGACGCCCCCAUCAAGAUCACCUCCUGCACCAUCUGACAACCAGCUCCUUAUAUUGCAACCAACCGCCAUAAUCGAACAGGCGGUGAUGGUGCUUACGACGGUGGUUUUAAAAUCGCACAGCUGCCACUUCACGCUGCAAUUCAAACUGCCAGAUCCCUUACAAUCUCCAUAUAUGGAUCCUUUUUUCAAACAACGCUCGAGACAAUCCAGUGCAGACUCACAAGAAGGAUCUUCAAUCACAUACCUGCAACUUGGUUCUACCUCUUGCAUCAUCCUCUCUUCUGCAACUAUUAAUUUUAUAUAUUUAGUAUUAUCAAAAUUGACAAUCUAGUCUCACAUAUUUUUAAACGGUCAUUUGAAGGUUAAGGCUUCCGUGGUAGCCUUCCUACUUUUAAACUACUCUUUGAAGGUUAGGACUAUGUCAUAGUUCUUACCUUUAGACGAUCGUUUAAGUUAAGAGGUGUGGUAUUUGAGUUU
This is a long non-coding RNA of Helianthus annuus (common sunflower), 737 nucleotides long. RefSeq lists it as uncharacterized. NCBI's taxonomy places the organism in Eukaryota, Viridiplantae, Streptophyta, Magnoliopsida, Asterales, Asteraceae. The record is from RefSeq and is a predicted model, not a curated record. The transcript is spliced from 2 exons.